GGUGGCUCAGUGGUAGAGCGCUUGCCUUGUGUGCUUGAGGCCCUGGGUUCGAUUCCUCAGCACCA
RNAcentral lists this transfer RNA (65 nucleotides) under Dipodomys ordii (Ord's kangaroo rat). It matches the Rfam family "tRNA". From Rfam's summary of the family: Transfer RNA (tRNA) molecules are approximately 80 nucleotides in length. Lineage: Eukaryota; Metazoa; Chordata; Mammalia; Rodentia; Heteromyidae. The record is from Rfam by way of RNAcentral.